CCUACGGGUGGCAGCAGUGGGGAAUCUUGCGCAAUGGGGGAAACCCUGACGCAGCAACGCCGCGUGCGGGACGAAGGCCCUCGGGUCGUAAACCGCUUUCAGCAGGGAAGACCACGACGGUACCUGCAGAAGAAGCCCCGGCUAACGAAGUGCCAGCAGCCGCGGUAAUACGUGGGGGGCGAGGGUUAUCCGGAUUCAUUGGGCGUAAGGCGCGCGUAGGCGGCCGCCUAAGCGGAACCUCUAACCCCGGGGCUCAACCUCGGGCCGGGUUCCGGACUGGGCGGCUCGAGUGCGGUAGAGGAGAGCGGAAUUCCCGGUGUAGCGGUGGAAUGCGCAGAUAUCGGGAAGAACACCGAUGGCGAAGGCAGCUCUCUGGGCCGUCACUGACGCUGAGGCGCGAAAGCUGGGGGAGCGAACAGGAUUAGAUACCCGGGUAGUC
Molecule: ribosomal RNA, 439 nt
Filed under: uncultured bacterium
Lineage: Bacteria
Description: partial 16S ribosomal RNA
Rfam family: Bacterial small subunit ribosomal RNA
Source: RNAcentral